Molecule: ribosomal RNA, 433 nt
Filed under: uncultured bacterium
Lineage: Bacteria
Description: partial 16S ribosomal RNA
Rfam family: Bacterial small subunit ribosomal RNA
Source: RNAcentral
AAUGAACGCUGGCGGCAUGCCUAACACAUGCAAGUCGAACGAAGGCUUCGGCCUUAGUGGCGCACGGGUGCGUAACGCGUGGGAAUCUGCCCCUUGGUUCGGAAUAACAGUUGGAAACGACUGCUAAUACCGGAUGACGACGUAAGUCCAAAGAUUUAUCGCCGAGGGAUGAGCCCGCGUAGGAUUAGGUAGUUGGUGUGGUAAAGGCGCACCAAGCCGACGAUCCUUAGCUGGUCUGAGAGGAUGAUCAGCCACACUGGGACUGAGACACGGCCCAGACUCCUACGGGAGGCAGCAGUGGGGAAUAUUGGACAAUGGGCGAAAGCCUGAUCCAGCAAUGCCGCGUGAGUGAUGAAGGCCUUAGGGUUGUAAAGCUCUUUUACCCGGGAUGAUAAUGACAGUACCGGGAGAAUAAGCGCCGGCUAACUCCGUG